Molecule: long non-coding RNA, 289 nt
Filed under: Equus asinus (donkey)
Lineage: Eukaryota; Metazoa; Chordata; Mammalia; Perissodactyla; Equidae
Description: lncRNA (ENSEASG00005027602.1)
Source: RNAcentral
AAGAACAAAGGCUGGUCCCCGGGAGCUGUACCAGUUCUGGAGGUCAGAAGUCGGAAAUCGAUCUCACUGGCCAAGAUGACGUUGUGCGCAGGGCCACGACCCCUCCCUCCGGUGGCUCCAGGGGCGAAUCUGCUUCUCUUGCGGCUUCUGGUGGCUGUAGGCAUUCCUCGGCUUGUGGCCAUGUCACUCCGAUCUCGGCCUCCUCCGUCCUCACAUCCCCUUCUCCUCUCUCCUUUGUCUAAUCUCCGUCUGCCUCUCUCUUAUAAGAACACUUGUGACAGCAUUUAGG